Nomascus leucogenys (northern white-cheeked gibbon) is the source of this 1759-nucleotide RNA transcript. It is a transcript of the gene named 60 kDa heat shock protein, mitochondrial pseudogene, with no coding region annotated. NCBI's taxonomy places the organism in Eukaryota, Metazoa, Chordata, Mammalia, Primates, Hylobatidae. The transcript has a single exon. The record is from RefSeq and is a predicted model, not a curated record.
CCGCCGACGACCUGUCUCGCCGCGCGCAUGCCCUGCCACCGCCCCGCAGAAAUGCUUCGGUUACCCACAGUCUUUCGCCAGAUGAGACCGGUGUCCAGGGUACUGGCUCCGCAUCUCACUCGGGCUUAUGCCAAAGAUGUAAAAUUUGGUGCAGAUGCCCGAGCCUUAAUGCUUUUAGCCGAUGCUGUGGCCGUUACAAUGGGGCCAAAGGGAACAACAGUGAUUAUUGAGCAGAGAUGGGGAAGUCCCAAAGUAACAAAAGAUGGUGUGACUGUUGCAAAGUCAAUUGACUUAAAGGAUAAAUAUAAAAACAUUGGAGCUAAACUUUUUCAAGAUGUUGCUAAUAACACAAAUGAAGAAGCUGGGGAUGGCACUACCACUGCUACUGUACUGGCACGCUCUAUAGCCAAGGAAGGCUUUGAGAAGAUUAGCAAAGGUGCUAAUCCAGUGGAAAUCAGGAGAGGUGUGAUGUUAGCUGUUGAUGCUGUAAUUGCUGAACUUAAAAAGCAGUCUAAAUCUGUGACCACCCCUGAAGAAAUUGCACAGGUUGCUACGAUUUCUGCAAAUGGAGACAAAGAAAUUGGCAAUAUCAUCUCUGAUGCAAUGAAAAAGGUUGGAAGAAAGGGUGUCAUCACAGUAAAGGAUGGAAAAACACUGAAUGAUGAAUUAGAAAUUAUUGAAGGCACGAAGUUUGAUUGAAGUUAUAUUUCUCCAUACUUUAUUAAUACAUCAAAAGGUCAGAAAUGUGAAUUCCAGGAUGCCUAUGUUCUGUUGAGUGAAAAGAAAAUUUCUCAUGUCCAGUCCAUCAUACCUGCUCUUGAAAUUGCCAAUGCUCACCGUAAGCCUUUGGUCAUAAUUGCUGAAGAUGUUGAUGGAGAAGCUCUAAGUACACUCGUCUUGAAUAGGCUAAAGGUUGGUCUUCAGGUUGUGGCAGUCAAGGCUCCAGGGUUUGGUGACAAUAGAAAGAACCAGCUUAAAGAUAUGGCUAUUGCUACUGGUGGUGCAGUGUUUGGAGAAGAUGGGUUGACCCUGAAUCUUGCAGACAUUCAGCCUCAUGACUUAGGAAAAGUUGGAGAGGUCAUUGUGACCAAAGAUGAUGCCAUGCUCUUAAAAGGAAAAGGUGACAAGGCCCAAAUUGAAAAACGUAUUCAAGAAAUCAUUGAGCAGUUAGAUGUCACAACUAGUGAAUAUGAAAAGGGAAAAACUGAAUGAACGGCUGGCAAAACUUUCAGAUGGCGUAGCUGUGCUGAAGGUUGGUGGGACAAGUGAUGUUGAAGUGAAUGAAAAGAAAGACAGAGUUACAGAUGCCCUUAAUGCUACAAGAGCUGCUGUUGAAGAAGGCAUUGUUUUGGGAGGGGGUUGUACCCUGCUUCGAUGCAUUCCAGCCUUGGACUCAUUGACUCCAGCUAAUGAAGAUCAAAAAACUGGUAUAGAAAUUAUUAAAAGAACACUCAAAAUUCCAGCAAUGACCACUGCUAAGAAUGCAGGUGUUGAAGGAUCUUUGAUAGCUGAGAAAAUGACGCAAAUUUCCUCAGAAGUUGGUUAUGAUGCUAUGGUUGGAGAUUUUGUGAAUAUGGUGGAAAAAGGAAUUAUUGACCCAACAAAGGUUGUGAGAACUGCUUUAUUGGAUGCUGCUGGUGUGGCCUCUCUGUUAACGACAGCAGAAGUUGUAGUCACAGAAAUUCCUAAAGAAGAGAAGGACCCUGGAAUGGGUGCAAUGGGUGGAUUGGGAGGCGGUAUGGGAGGUGGCAUGUUCUAA